Molecule: transfer RNA, 73 nt
Filed under: Colletotrichum salicis
Lineage: Eukaryota; Fungi; Ascomycota; Sordariomycetes; Glomerellales; Glomerellaceae
Rfam family: tRNA
About the family: Transfer RNA (tRNA) molecules are approximately 80 nucleotides in length.
Source: Rfam by way of RNAcentral
GGGCAAUUGGUUUAGUGGUUAUAAUAACCGCUUAGCAUGUGGUAGGUCCUGUGUUCGAUUCCUAGAUCGUCCA